Carassius gibelio (silver crucian carp) is the source of this 4019-nucleotide RNA transcript. RefSeq lists it as uncharacterized. The record is from RefSeq and is a predicted model, not a curated record. Lineage: Eukaryota; Metazoa; Chordata; Actinopteri; Cypriniformes; Cyprinidae. The transcript has 6 exons.
ACCAUUAUGGAAAGAGUCCGCAACAACUACACUCUGCCAUGUCUGUACAGCUGUCCGAAUCCCCACGUUGUCUCAUCAGGAGUUGGACGACCCCGUGUCAUUAUUGGUACAAGCAGCCAGUACUACAUUCUGGCCUCUCGGCUCAGCUGUAAAGUCUGUAAAAAGUACUGGUUUGCAGACAAACCCCAAUGGAUGGACAUGCUGCCGAGUCGGUUCUGCAACAUUUUGCCAGCUUUUCUGACGCACAAGAAGGCCAUAUGUAAGACUGUGAUGGAUGAGUUGCGGCGUACAGGAAAGUCUCCCAAUGAUAUGGCCAAUCAGUUGAAUGAAGCUCUCCACCUCAGGUAUGAGCGUGCACACCUGGCUUACUUGUCUACUGUUAAGAAUGUGCUGGAUGGAGACAGUGGAAUUUACGGUCAGCAGACCAUCACAGGGGCACUAAGAGCAACAAAUACUCCUGCCUCAUUUGGUGAGUAUGGUGAUUUGGUCGGCUGGUGUGGAGUAACAGUUUCACCCCACUAUUUGGUUGACUGCCUCAUUCAGGAGUACCAUAGGCAGGAGAGCACACUCAAUCUGCUCCUCCAAGGCACAUUUGGACAAGCCUUAAGGGCUGACCAUACCCGCAAGGUGGCCCGGAAGGUUGUGCUUGCAUCAGGUACUAUGUCAUCCUAUGCUGUGAUGAAUGAAAACUGGAUGAUCUUGUCCUGGGUGAUGCUGCAGUCUGAAAGUGAUAAAUCCCUGCAGCCAAUGUAUGAGGGGCUGUCUCUUCGUUACAUUUCUGCAGGACUGCCGAAAGCCAACUACCAGUGGGUUGACAGAGAUUGCUGUGCUGCCUUCAGGAUCCCAAACCCUGAGCCCCGGGAGCACCUCCUCUGGGAUUCUUGGAAGACCACUGAGGCUGUAGUGGCUGCGGCAACCUCUGGGCAUCUCAUCAACACCUGUGCCUCCCGCGAAAAAUAUAACAGCGACAUCAAAAUCAAGCUGGACUUGUUCCACUGCAUGCGGCGGUUCUCCAGAGAGUGUGUGUCAGAGCACCAUCCACUGCACAGUGCUUUCUGCAAGUUUCUGUCAGCAGCUUUUAGUGUUGUGGACCAGACGGACCUACAAAGACUGAAGCAGGCUUAUGUCUUCUGUGGGAUAGUGCCUGCAAAUCCAACAAAGCAGCACAUCAGGGAGCACUGCCGCACCAGGGUUCCACACCCCAAAGAGCUACUGGAGAGAGUGGAGAGCGUUCUCCAAAGAUUCUUUUUAGAAUGUGAUCCUGAUGGUGUGCCACUGUUCAAACCAUCGAUGUUGAAGGUGUGGAGGAUUCAGCGAGUCCACAUCCUCAGAGGCUGCCUGAGUGACCCAGAGGUUACAGAUGGGAUCCUCUAUAGGCAUGGUGGAACGGUCCAGCUGAACCAUGUGAAGGGGGAGGCGGCAGCUGUACCUGUGUGGAUCCCUGUGAGAGGCACUUCUCAGCAGGAGGGGUUCCAUUUCCAUCAGGCCAGAUGGGUCACAGGCACUCAGGUAUCCACAGAACUAUUCCAGGCACAGGGCAUGAUUGGAGUGGCUCGUUGGAAUUUCCAGCGCCUUGUAGACCUGAAGCAGCCUGGAGUGAAGCUGCCUGCAGUUUUUGAUCCUGUGCUGAUCAUGGAACUGAACAAGCUCUCAGACAUGGUGACAGGCCAGGCCAAGUACCCUGCCUUACUUGUCUCACAGACAGACACCAGAGAAAGGUUUGGACUGCAGUAUGUGGAGCCUGGUUGUCGUCCUGUCCCCCUAGACUGGGCCAAGCACAAGUCCCAGAAGGUACCUGUUGCAGGGGAGGGAGAGCAUCAGUCCUCAGAGCCGUCUGCUCUCAGUGAGAGAUUCCCACCUGAUGACCCACCUGAGGAGGUGAGGGAAGAACACUUUGCUCAGGAUGACAUCUUUGGUGUGGCUUCUCUUGGCUCACAAACAAUGAUCCAGCCUGUGCAGCCCACCAAAUUAAAAGAUGAGAUGACACCACCACUGCCCUUUGCUCCCUCUCCACGAGCUGCUCGCACAGGUCCCAUCAAGGCAGGCGGUCUACUUUUUGUCCUGGACCAUUUUCGGUGGACAAAGCCCAUGAGGGAUUCCAUUGAUGGCCUUCUGGCAAAGUACCAUGGGCAGAAAGACCUUCUCACCCAGGUGGAUGCAGAGUAUGCUGCCCUUGUGCAGGCUGCCUCCAGGGAUCCCAAUAGCCUCUUACACCCCACCACGAAACAGCAUAUCUCACGUUAUGUGAAACACCUGGCCAAGAUAACGAACAGAAGUUCAUCCCUGAACACCAGUUCAGAGAAGCUCCUGGAGACCCAGAAGCUGUGGCAUCACCUCACAGAAGGUAGUGAAACUGUAAGUGUUCCAGUGGUAACCCUCCCACCUGCCCCAGUGAACCCACCCAGUAAUAAGCCCCAGGAGUUACCACUAACUAAGGGUGAGGUUGAACAAAUGGUGAAAGAGAUUGUGGAGAAACAACAGCAACAGCAGCCUGUUACAAAGAGGACACGGAACUGUCUUGCUUGUGGCCAGCCAAAGUCACGUUACCUUGGUGAUGGGUCCUCCAUUCAUUUUUUUUAUCAGUCUGGGGAUGUGAAGUACUUUUACUGCUCUACAAAGGUACACCAGAUGUAUGCAGCGGAAGGCCUCACCAAUCCUCGAAUGCCAUUUGCUGACUUUGCUGAAACACCUUUUUUUAAACGAGAGCUACAGGCCGCAAAGCAGCGUUCUGCAGAGACAAGACAGGUAAUAGAGGAGCGGAGAAAGAGAAAGUCCAUGGAGCAGCAUCCCACUGGUCGCCUCUGUAGGUUCUGCCACAAGCCACUAAAACAAGGCCCAGAGAGUCCACACAUACACACUGGGUUCCCUGGUGUGGCAGGGAAAUAUGUCUAUUGUCCUGCCAGAGUGUUUUCCUUAUAUCAGACAGAGGGGAUGACUCACGAGAUGAUUUGGGGAGAGUUCUGUCAGUCUUCCUUUUAUGAGACUGAAAGGAAGAGAUGGGCAGCAGAAAAGGGAAAGUGACUGCCCUCAUGUUUCCUGGUUUUAAAUGAAUGUUUAGAUGAAGCAUCCUCUGUCAAGACCCAUCCUCCGCAGAGUAGGUCACCCUAAAGACGGUCUCAGUCCACCAAAACAUCACACCAGACACUUUGACAGCGGAGGAUCAAAGGUCAGAAGGGUUUCUUCCAGAUGCAGAACACCACACCAUCGGCCAUAACUGCGUCCCUCGUUCAGCUCACACUGGACCCCUCAGAACGGCUGGUCUUCGUGUUGGACCAUAGAUGGACAGAUCUGCUGAGAAUUGCCCGUGAAGAUCUCUUGGCAACGCACCAUAGGAGCAAGGAUCUUCUUCAACAGGCCGAAGGCUUGUUUUUUGUUGUUGUUGUUUUUCUAUGUUUUCCACAACUUUAAAUUGUAUUAUUAUUAAUAUUAUUGUAGCUGUUGUUGUUUAGUCUACAAUUUUAAAUUAUUUAAUUUAUUUCCAGUUGUUAAAUAAAACAUCAGAAGUAUUGGCCUUGUUUACACUGUACUUUAGUGUGUUAAUUAAUUGUAUUGACUUUGUAUUGUUAUUUUAUCUUGCUCAGUUUUGUAAACACUAAAUGUUAGUAAUGGCUAAUAUUAAACUCUGUAAAUAAUUAUUUUAUUUAAAAUACUCUACCAGUCAAAUGUUUUUCAGCAGAAAGAUUUGUAAUGUUUUUUGAGGAGUCUCUUCUGCUCACCAAGCAUGCCUUUAUUUGAUCCAAAGUACAGCAAAAAAAAGUAGCAUUUUAAAUAUUCUUACUAUUUUAAAUCAGCUGCUUUAUAUUAGAAUAUAUACAGUAAUCUAUUUCUGUGAUGCUCCGCUGUAUUUUCAGCAUCAUUCCUCCAGUCUUCAGUGUCACAUAAUCUUCAGAAAUCAUGAAAAUAUGAUGAUUUACUGCUCAGAAACAUUUCUGAUUAUUAUUAUUAUUGUUGUUGUUAUGUUAUGUUGAAAACAGCCGAGUACAAUCUUUUCAGGUUUCUUACAUGAAUUGAAAGUUUAA